Molecule: ribosomal RNA, 468 nt
Filed under: uncultured bacterium
Lineage: Bacteria
Description: partial 16S ribosomal RNA
Rfam family: Bacterial small subunit ribosomal RNA
Source: RNAcentral
GACGAACGCUGGCGGCGUGCUUAACACAUGCAAGUCGAACGGAAAGGCCCUGCUUUUGUGGGGUGCUCGAGUGGCGAACGGGUGAGUAACACGUGAGUAACCUGCCCUUGACUUUGGGAUAACUUCAGGAAACUGGGGCUAAUACCGGAUAAGAGCUCCUGCUGCAUGGUGGGGGUUGGAAAGUUUCGGCGGUUGGGGAUGGACUCGCGGCUUAUCAGCUUGUUGGUGGGGUAGUGGCUUACCAAGGCUUUGACGGGUAGCCGGCCUGAGAGGGUGACCGGCCACAUUGGGACUGAGAUACGGCCCAGACUCCUACGGGAGGCAGCAGUGGGGAAUAUUGCACAAUGGGCGGAAGCCUGAUGCAGCAACGCCGCGUGCGGGAUGACGGUCUUCGGGUUGUAAACCGCUUUCGCCUGUGACGAAGCGUGAGUGACGGUAAUGGGUAAAGAAGCACCGGCUAACUACGUG